Molecule: ribosomal RNA, 253 nt
Filed under: uncultured Eubacteriales bacterium
Lineage: Bacteria; Bacillati; Bacillota; Clostridia; Eubacteriales
Description: uncultured Clostridiales bacterium partial 16S ribosomal RNA
Rfam family: Bacterial small subunit ribosomal RNA
Source: RNAcentral
UACGUAGGUGGCAAGCGUUGUCCGGAAUGACUGGGCGUAAAGGGAGCGUAGGCGGCGCAGUAAGUUAGGAGUGAAAUCCCGGGGCUCAACCCCGGAACUGCUUUUAAAACUGCUGUGCUUGAGUGAUGGAGAGGAAAGCGGAAUUCCUAGUGUAGCGGUGGAAUGCGUAGAUAUCAGGAGGAACACCGGCGGCGAAGGCGGCUUACUGGACUGUAACUGACGUUGAGGCUCGAAGGCGUGGGGAGCAAACAGG